AUACGAAGGGGGCUAGCGUUGUUCGGAAUUACUGGGCGUAAAGCGCACGUAGGCGGAUAUUUAAGUCAGGGGUGAAAUCCCAGAGCUCAACUCUGGAACUGCCUUUGAUACUGGGUAUCUUGAGUAUGGAAGAGGUAAGUGGAAUUCCGAGUGUAGAGGUGAAAUUCGUAGAUAUUCGGAGGAACACCAGUGGCGAAGGCGGCUUACUGGUCCAUUACUGACGCUGAGGUGCGAAAGCGUGGGGAGCAAACAGGAGUAGAAACCCUAGUAGUCC
RNAcentral lists this ribosomal RNA (274 nucleotides) under uncultured bacterium. RNAcentral's name for it is "partial 16S ribosomal RNA". It matches the Rfam family "Bacterial small subunit ribosomal RNA", at positions 523 to 796 of the family's 1533-position model. The record is from RNAcentral.